AGGACGAACGCUGGCGGCGUGCUUAAUACAUGCCAAGUCGAGCGAGGCCUUGGAAUUGGAGUCCUUCGGGAUGAAGAGUCCUUGGCCUAGCGGCGGACGGGUGAGUAACGCGUGGGCAACCUACCCCAAAGUCCGGGAUAACAGUGGGAAACCGCUGCUAAUACCGGAUGACUUUACCUGAGGGCAUCCUUGGGUAAAGAAAGGUUACGCUUUGGGAUGGGCCCGCGUCCCAUUAGCUAGUUGGUGAGGUAACGGCUCACCAAGGCGACGAUGGGUAGCCGGCCUGAGAGGGUGAACGGCCACACUGGGACUGAGACACGGCCCAGACUCCUACGGGAGGCAGCAGUAGGGAAUAUUGCGCAAUGGGCGGAAGCCUGACGCAGCGACGCCGCGUGAGCGAAGAAGGCCUUCGGGUCGUAAAGCUCUGUCCUUGGGGAAGAAGGCGAAAGCUUGACGGUACCCAAGAAGAAAGCCCCGGCUAACUACGUG
This 489-nucleotide ribosomal RNA is filed under the name uncultured bacterium. RNAcentral describes it as "bacterial SSU rRNA". It matches the Rfam family "Bacterial small subunit ribosomal RNA", at positions 26 to 507 of the family's 1533-position model. The record is from RNAcentral.